This 460-nucleotide ribosomal RNA is filed under the name uncultured bacterium. RNAcentral's name for it is "partial 16S ribosomal RNA". It matches the Rfam family "Bacterial small subunit ribosomal RNA", at positions 338 to 795 of the family's 1533-position model. The record is from RNAcentral.
CCUACGGGUGGCAGCAGUGAGGAAUAUUGGUCAAUGGCCGGAAGGCUGAACCAGCCAAGUCGCGUGAGGGAAUAAGGCCCUAUGGGUCGUAAACCUCUUUUGUCAGGGAGCAAAGGCGUCCACGUGUGGACGAGAGGAGAGUACCUGCAGAAAAAGCAUCGGCUAACGCCGUGCCAGCAGCCGCGGUAAUACGGAGGAUGCGAGCGUUAUCCGGUUUUAUGGGGUUUAAAGGGUGCGUAGGCGGAGGGUCAAGUCAGGGGUAAAGUUUCGGGGCGAAACCCCGUCGUGCCGUUGAAACUGACGCCCUUGAGAGAGUGAGAGGUAAGCGGAAUGCGUGGUGUAGCGGUGAAAUGCAUAGAUAUCACGCAGAACGCCGAUUGCGAAGGCAGCUUACCGGCGCUCAACUGACGCUGAGGCACGAAAGUGCGGGUAUCGAACAGGAUUAGAUACCCGGGUAGUC